CUAAUUUUGUGAUGCUCUUUCAAGCUGUGAUGAAUUUUUGUUUAGGCUAGUUGAGAUCAAAAUUUUGGAAAAGUGGUAUACCCGUUUCUCGCUCGUAUACAAAAUGACUGAAAAUUGCAACUUUCGCAAGGCUAUCAUACACGGCCAAGUUCGCGCAACUUGCAGCAAGUCUGUCAUCAGGCCGCAUGCGAAUUGUUGCCAUCAAGCCCCAUCUCAGAAGCGUUCGCUCGGCUUGUUGCGGCUUGACGAUACUUGCCCGCAUCAGCACGACAACAGGUUUGCUGCAAUUUGAUGUCGACAGACCUGUCGCAAUGGCGAUGACAACAGACUUGCUGCAAGUUGUCGUUAACAGACCUGUCGCAAUGGCGAUAACAACAGACUUGCAGCAAUUUGAUGUCGACAGAGCUGCAGCAUUGGCGAUGAUAACAGACUUGCAGCAAGUCCGCAGUUGACAUGACAACCAACGAUUAAACAUGCACUCGUUAUUCCCGCGUGUUUUCACACAUCAGAAUUCAAAAUGCAAAAAACACUCGCUUCAAAGUACUUUAGAUCAUUUUAUUUAUCGUAUAUGUAACUGAUCAUAAUACAAUUUUACAUGUGAAAUUACAAUAAAGGCAAAAACAUUGCUAAUAUAUACUGAAACCGAU
Paramuricea clavata is the source of this 647-nucleotide non-coding RNA. NCBI's taxonomy places the organism in Eukaryota, Metazoa, Cnidaria, Anthozoa, Malacalcyonacea, Plexauridae. The record is from the annotation of a GenBank genome assembly.